This 253-nucleotide ribosomal RNA is filed under the name uncultured bacterium. Its description in RNAcentral is "partial 16S ribosomal RNA". It matches the Rfam family "Bacterial small subunit ribosomal RNA", at positions 524 to 776 of the family's 1533-position model. The record is from RNAcentral.
UACGUAGGGGGCAAGCGUUGUCCGGAUUUAUUGGGCGUAAAGCGCUCGCAGGUGGUCCGAUGCGUCGUGCGUGAAAGACCCCGGCUCAACUGGGGGGUGUCGUGCGAUACGGGCGGACUGGAGGCCAGUAGGGGGAUGCGGAAUUCCGGGUGUAGUGGUGGAAUGCGUAGAGAUCCGGAGGAACACCAGCGGCGAAGGCGGCAUCCUGGACUGGUCCUGACACUCAUGAGCGAAAGCGUGGGGAGCGAUCCGG